AUGGCGACUGCGAGAGCUCGACCCACCAUGGCCAUCGUCCUCCUCGCCACACUCUCGGCCUCCCACACCGCGUCAUGCCUGGUUCGGCACGACGUCUUCGGCUGCCAGCCCAGCGGCUACCUCCUGGGCAGGUCCGGGAACUGCGAGAUUAGCAACAACCCGGACUGUUGCGUCGACGGCAAGCAGUACCCGCAGUUCCUCUGCUCGCCGCCCGUCCCUGCGACCACGUGGGUCGUCCUCACAGUCAACGGCUUCAGUAAGGGCAAGGACGGCGGCCUCCCGUCCGAGUGUGACAGCGCGUACCACGAUGACUCGGAGAUGGUCGUCGUGCUCUCCACCGGCUGGUUCAGCGGCAUGUCCUGCUGCAUCCGCAACAUCAAGAUCACUGCGAAGGGUGGCAGCUCGGUGUACGCCAAGGUGGUGGACAAGUGCGACUCCCGGUUGCGACGUCGAGCACAAGUACAAGGAGCCAUGCGCCUACAACGUCCUGGGCGCCUAGCCGGCGGUGUGGGAUGCCCUGGGCCUCGAUCAGAACAUCGUUUUGCAGGAUGUUACCUCAUCUAA
Molecule: ribosomal RNA, 564 nt
Filed under: Triticum aestivum (bread wheat)
Lineage: Eukaryota; Viridiplantae; Streptophyta; Magnoliopsida; Poales; Poaceae
Description: partial small subunit ribosomal RNA
Source: RNAcentral